Molecule: ribosomal RNA, 206 nt
Filed under: uncultured bacterium
Lineage: Bacteria
Description: partial 16S ribosomal RNA
Rfam family: Bacterial small subunit ribosomal RNA
Source: RNAcentral
UCAGGUUCGGAUCGAAGUCUGCAACCCGACUUCGUGAAGCUGGAUUCGCUAGUAAUCGCGCAUCAGCCAUGGCGCGGUGAAUACGUUCCCGGGCCUUGUACACACCGCCCGUCAAGCCAUGAAAGCCGGGGGUACCUGAAGUACGUAACCGCAAGGAUCGUCCUAGGGUAAAACUGGUAAUUGGGGCUAAGUCGUAACAAGGUAAC